Molecule: ribosomal RNA, 446 nt
Filed under: uncultured bacterium
Lineage: Bacteria
Description: bacterial SSU rRNA
Rfam family: Bacterial small subunit ribosomal RNA
Source: RNAcentral
AACGAACGCUGGCGGCAUGCCUAACACAUGCAAGUCGAACGAGACCUACGGGUCUAGUGGCGCACGGGUGCGUAACGCGUGGGAAUCUGCCCUUUGCUUCGGAAUAACAGUUAGAAAUGACUGCUAAUACCGGAUGAUGUCUUCGGACCAAAGAUUUAUCAGCAAAGGAUGAGCCCGCGUAGGAUUAGGUAGUUGGUGGGGUAAAGGCCUACCAAGCCGACGAUCCUUAGCUGGUCUGAGAGGAUGAUCAGCCACACUGGGACUGAGACACGGCCCAGACUCCUACGGGAGGCAGCAGUGGGGAAUAUUGGACAAUGGGCGAAAGCCUGAUCCAGCAAUGCCGCGUGAGUGAUGAAGGCCUUAGGGUUGUAAAGCUCUUUUACCCGAGAUGAUAAUGACAGUAUCGGAGAAUAAGCUCCGGCUAACUCCGUGCCAGCAGCCGCGGU